GAGAAAGAAGAAUAUAAAGUGGAUCAGAGUUAACUUUAAGAAGGGAUGGGAGUAUCCCAACACGGACAAAAGAACCAUCAGAAGGAGAUUGUUGCAGUGAUAGGUUAAAAUUAGCAUUUCAUUUACUUAGUGAUACCAUAUUUGAAAUUGGAAAAUCUUGUCUUUGUCCUCUAUACAGGUGUUACAGACUAAAAAAGCACAAUCUCCAAAAGAUUUCAUAGGAAGUCACCAGCAGUUACUGUUCAACCAUCAUUUUCAUACUCAUUUUGACCUUCGAUUAUCAUCAAAUACGUGUUACAUAUGCUCUAAAGUGUCAGACUAAAUAUGAAAUCCUUCCACAAGCCUCAGUAAAAUACUCAAGAAAUGAGCCUUAAACCUUUCAUAAAUGGUGAUUGGUUAGAUAAGUUUUAGGAUCAGUUUGAGAACAUUUACAACUUCAGAAAUUUCAAGAAGAAAAGCUAAAACCUAACAAAAUCAUUCAGGUUUGGCAUACAUCUGUUCCUAUUAACAUCUACAAUUUGCAUAUACCAACAAAUCAAUGAAAUUAUAAGAUGCCUAAGCAUAUAAAGUACCAUUAUGAUACUAAAAGUAACUUAUUUUGAUCCUCUUUCAAGUGUUGAAUUUCUAAGCCAUCUUAUCCCAUACUAAAGAUUGUCAUAUUAAUGCCAGUAAAACCCUAAGGAAUUUGUUAAAGAAAAAAAAAACAAAUUACAGAAUAUUAAGAGUAAUGCAACUAACAAGAAAACCGGAUGCUCAUAAUUAUUUGAUAUUAAAAGCAUAAUUAAAUAAAAUUUGUAAUUCUAAUAUAGAAAGAAAUAUCAUGGAAGUAGGAAACACUGGGAGGCAGGAAACUUAUUAUAGUAUUCUUUAUGUAUUGAAUUUCUAUACCACUUAUCUAUUCACAUGCCAAGAUGAGUCCUCUACAUCAACUCAUCCACCAUACAGAUAAGAACCAAACUCAUAAAACAUAUCUGAAUUCCCGGAUGCCAAAAGAGAUAAUAAUAUACUCACAUCUAAAUCUACAAAAACCAGAGUCUAUCACUAACAAAACACGCAAUGAAGGCGGAAAAAAAAAA
Molecule: non-coding RNA, 1076 nt
Organism: Durio zibethinus
Lineage: Eukaryota; Viridiplantae; Streptophyta; Magnoliopsida; Malvales; Malvaceae
Source: RefSeq, a predicted model, not a curated record